Molecule: ribosomal RNA, 464 nt
Filed under: uncultured bacterium
Lineage: Bacteria
Description: SSU rRNA
Rfam family: Bacterial small subunit ribosomal RNA
Source: RNAcentral
AGGACUAACGCUGGCGGCGUGCCUAACACAUGCAAGUCGAACGAGAGUAGCAAUACUCUAGUGGCAGACGGGUGAGUAACACGUGGUCAAUCUACCUUUUAGUGGGGGAUAACUAGCCGAAAGGUUAGCUAAUACCGCAUACGAUCUUCGAGUGGCAUCACUUGAAGAGGAAAAGAGCAAUCUGCUAAAAAGACGGGACCGCGUCCCAUUAGCUAGUUGGUGGGGUAAAGGCCUACCAAGGCGACGAUGGGUAGCUGGCUUGAGAGAGCGACCAGCCACACUGGGACUGAGACACGGCCCAGACUCCUACGGGAGGCAGCAGUGAGGAAUUUUCCGCAAUGGGCGAAAGCCUGACGGAGCGACGCCGCGUGUGGGAAGAAGGCCUUCGGUCGUAAACCACUGUCGAAGGGAAGAUAUUGACGGUACCUUGGAGGAAGCCCGGCUAACUACGUGCCAGCAGCCGC